CGCGUAGGCGGAUUGGAAAGUUGGGGGUGAAAUCCCAGGGCUCAACCCUGGAACUGCCUUCAAAACUCCCAGUCUAGAGUUCGAGAGAGGUGAGUGGAAUUCCGAGUGUAGAGGUGAAAUUCGUAGAUAUUCGGAGGAACACCAGUGGCGAAGGCGGCUCACUGGCUCGAUACUGACGCUGAGGUGCGAAAGUGUGGGGAGCAAACA
RNAcentral lists this ribosomal RNA (207 nucleotides) under uncultured bacterium. Its description in RNAcentral is "partial 16S ribosomal RNA". It matches the Rfam family "Bacterial small subunit ribosomal RNA", at positions 568 to 774 of the family's 1533-position model. The record is from RNAcentral.